GCGACAGUGCUUUCAGAAACACCACUGACACGUUUCAUGACAACAAAGUCUGAUAAUGGGAUGUGUUCAUCUGUGUAAACAGCACCCCAGCAGACAUGGACACCCUGCAGUAUCUAAACGCUCUUAUCUCUGAGCGGCUGGCUGCGGCGGUAGUGGAGAUUAUCAGGGAGAAAUCAGCCGAUCCAGAUCCACUUGAGAUCACUCAUUAUGAGCAGGAUGGGUCUGAUGAGCAGCAGUACCCUGAACAUCAUCUGCUCCUCUAGAAGAGACCGACCAUGACUACAACCUCUCUCUUCAGUCAGAGUGUUCAUGAUGAAACUCAUUCUUACAGUCCCAGCCAAGACCAGACUCUCAGCAACAACACGGAAGUGAAUGGAGAAAGGAUUAAGGCACUCACACUAACAGGAACAAGACAAAAGAAGAAAAAGGCAAGGCAAAUCUAUGACUUGUACAGCAGAGGAGAAGAAUUUAUUGGAACAGAAGUUGCUAAUAUUCUCACUAGGGAGAGAGGAAAUGCUUCCCAUCAGGGAAAAGCGGUUUGAAGAAUCGAGACAUUUGAGGGAUCAUGUGGGAAUCCACACAGGAGAGAAGCCGGAGCAGUGUCAGGAAUGUGGCAUGAAUUCAGAAAUGUUUGUUUACGUUUGUUUAAACAGCAAUAAGGCCUUUUAUUUUGGCUUUUUAUCCAUAGGUCACACUUUCCAAUUACAUAACACACCUGUUAUUAAUAUGAAUGAAAUAAAAAGAUAAUAGCUGUUUUCAGGGAGGGCAUGUCUCUUGAAAAUAAAAGCUUUCAAGUACAAUAAUUUAAAUGUGUGCUGAGUUGGUGUUUAUAUAUGCUUCAGUUCCUGCAGCAAAAAGUGGACUCUAUUGAGGAGAACCUGAAGAGGCUGAUGACCUGGGUGACAAAAUUCCAGGGACCAAACAGCGAAGACAAUGCUCUGGACCUCAAGCACAGUGUGGAGCAAUUACAGCCUCUGUGGGAGAAGAAACAAGCGGCUCCUGAUUGAGAGCACAGUGUGCUCUGUGAUCAACUAAGCAGUCAUGAGGUCUAAGCCAGGGCUGGCAGAGAAAGAGGCUGAGAGGAUGAUCGCUGAAACCCUAAAACACUCCAGCAAUGGCCGAAAGACAUCCAGAAACAUUAGGUUAAGGCUAAGAUGUACUGCAAAUCUUGAGAACACAUGAGCUCUGUCUUCUCGUAAAUGACACGUAUUUUCCUAAGUUAGUAGCUAAAACAACAAUGUUGACAGCUAGUUAGAGGCCUUCAAAGUUGUGUCUGAACCAAGUUUAACCAUUGGUGGAGAUACAAAUUAAAUUGCUAAGAAAAUAAGAAAACUUGCCUCUUUUUUCCAGGAAAAACAAUGUCCAGACCUUUCACUGAUGAAAGAAGAGGAAGAGGACAAAACAUACAUAUUUUGAAAAUGUAUCGUUGUUACAUGCUUG
Molecule: long non-coding RNA, 1440 nt
Organism: Thunnus maccoyii (southern bluefin tuna)
Lineage: Eukaryota; Metazoa; Chordata; Actinopteri; Scombriformes; Scombridae
Exons: 3
Source: RefSeq, a predicted model, not a curated record